This 253-nucleotide ribosomal RNA is filed under the name uncultured bacterium. RNAcentral's name for it is "partial 16S ribosomal RNA". It matches the Rfam family "Bacterial small subunit ribosomal RNA", at positions 524 to 776 of the family's 1533-position model. The record is from RNAcentral.
UACAGAGGGUGCAAGCGUUAAUCGGAUUUACUGGGCGUAAAGCGCGCGUAGGUGGCCAAUUAAGUCAAAUGUGAAAUCCCCGAGCUUAACUUGGGAAUUGCAUUCGAUACUGGUUGGCUAGAAUAUGGGAGAGGAUGGUAGAAUUCCAGGUGUAGCGGUGAAAUGCGUAGAGAUCUGGAGGAAUACCGAUGGCGAAGGCAGCCAUCUGGCCUAAUACUGACACUGAGGUGCGAAAGCAUGGGGAGCAAACAGG